CCUACGGGAGGCAGCAGUGGGGAAUAUUGGACAAUGGGCGAAAGCCUGAUCCAGCCAUGCCGCGUGUGUGAAGAAGGCCUUCGGGUUGUAAAGCACUUUCAGUGGGGAAGAAAGCCUUGGGGCUAAUACCCUCGAGGAAGGACAUCACCCACAGAAGAAGCACCGGCUAACUCCGUGCCAGCAGCCGCGGUAAUACGGAGGGUGCGAGCGUUAAUCGGAAUUACUGGGCGUAAAGCGCGCGUAGGCGGUCUGAUAAGCCGGUUGUGAAAGCCCCGGGCUCAACCUGGGAACGGCAUCCGGAACUGUCCGGCUAGAGUGCAGGAGAGGAAGGUAGAAUUCCCGGUGUAGCGGUGAAAUGCGUAGAGAUCUGGAGGAAUACCAGUGGCGAAGGCGGCCUUCUGGACUGACACUGACGCUGAGGUGCGAAAGCGUGGGUAGCAAACAGGAUUAGAUACCCGGGUAGUC
RNAcentral lists this ribosomal RNA (465 nucleotides) under Vreelandella stevensii. RNAcentral describes it as "partial 16S ribosomal RNA". It matches the Rfam family "Bacterial small subunit ribosomal RNA", at positions 338 to 795 of the family's 1533-position model. The record is from RNAcentral. Lineage: Bacteria; Pseudomonadati; Pseudomonadota; Gammaproteobacteria; Oceanospirillales; Halomonadaceae.